RNAcentral lists this unclassified non-coding RNA (302 nucleotides) under Hevea brasiliensis (rubber tree). The record is from RNAcentral. Lineage: Eukaryota; Viridiplantae; Streptophyta; Magnoliopsida; Malpighiales; Euphorbiaceae.
CCUCGGCGCCGCUCAUUUUCAGAGAAAUAAAAGAAAUUUAACUAAGAGAAUGAUUAAAACUCUUACCAGAGUGUGUCCGGUGCCGGAAAAACUUGAAGAAACGAGAGAAUUUUGAAUUUGCUAGCAAAGUGCUGAAAAUGACAUAAGGGAGCAACUGACUGACCCUCUCCCUAUUUAUACCCGUUUGAUCAUUCAAUACUCACAGAAUCCCAAGCAAAGCAUCGGUUAGCAGAAUCCGCCCGCUUUCCUGAUACGUCGCAGGAAAGUUCCAGAAACAUAAUAAAUAAAAUAAAAUGAGAUUG